CACGUAGGCACCAAGCGUUGUCCGGAUUUAUUGGGCGUAAAGAGCUCGUAGGCGGUUCGGUAAGUCGGGUGUGAAAACUCUGGGCUCAACCCAGAGCCGCCACCCGAUACUGCUGUGACUUGAGUUCGGUAGGGGAGCGGGGAAUUCCCGGUGUAGCGGUGAAAUGCGCAGAGAUCGGGAGGAACACCCGUAGCGAAGGCGGCACUCUGGGCCGGUACUGACGCUGAGGAGCGAAAGCGUGGGGAGCAAACAGG
This 254-nucleotide ribosomal RNA is filed under the name uncultured bacterium. RNAcentral's name for it is "partial 16S ribosomal RNA". It matches the Rfam family "Bacterial small subunit ribosomal RNA", at positions 524 to 776 of the family's 1533-position model. The record is from RNAcentral.